UGAUGCUAGAUACUGUCAAACUGAAAAC
RNAcentral lists this non-coding RNA (28 nucleotides) under Rattus norvegicus (Norway rat). The record is from RNAcentral. Lineage: Eukaryota; Metazoa; Chordata; Mammalia; Rodentia; Muridae.